UCGGGGCAAAAACAAAAGUGUUGCGUUUAUAAUUUUGUUCAGUUUAUAUAUUAUUAAGGGAAUGUAACUUAUAAAAACUGAAAUGCCACUUCUACCAUAUGUUUAUAUUGUAGAUUGUUGAGAGCAGGUCCCAGGUAAGAUGGCUGUAAAAUUGCUCCAUUCUGAUUCAUAGGGGCUCUAAGACACCAGCACAUCUACUGUUCUAUUAUCUGUGAUGGAAACAGCCAGCAACAGAGUGAGGGGCAACCUCAUGUGAAACUGCAUCUGAAUGCCAUCUGUCUUUCAAUAAAGCUCCCCAGUACUUGGCAGGUUUCAAUAGUUACCUUUCCAAAGACGCCCAGCUGUAUUGCGGUUCUAAUAGUUUUUGCAGCACUACAAACACAGCCUCUGAUUUAGAGACUAUUAACAACAAGUUUCAGCAUUCACUUCCAUUCAGUUCUCAUUUAUGUUGUUUAAUAACAAAACAAAAACAAAAAAAUCUGGUAUCCCUGUGGAAUGUACAUUAUAAUUUAAUGUCUCUCGUUGCCAUGUUCCCUCUUUGCAGGCACAGCCUGCUACAGAAUUUCCCUGUCAUUGACAUUUUGUCUUUGUAGAUACAACCACACGUUCGCCGCUGUCGGUGAGCUAGUGUUCAUGUUUGGGGGGUGCACGGAGGAUGGCUGCUACCACAAUGACGUCCACAUUCUCAACACAGAUACCCUUGUGUGGCAGAGGUACGAUGUGAAGGGGGAGUCACCACUGGCCUGCGCCGGCCAGACCCUCACGGCUCACCAUGACAAGGAUAUUUACUUGUUUGGCGGCAAAUGCAUCAGUCAGGAUGGAACAGUAACUUCAACAAAUGAGAUUAACAAAUUAAGCAUUGAUAUAUAUAUUUGGUGGCAAAAAUGAAGAACAAGAAUUCAAUGACCUGAAGGUGAUGAAAUUGAUAAACCCAUCAGAAAGACAGCCAGUGAUGAAGGAAAUUCUGUCUGAGUUUGGGCUUCAGGGAGUCAGUCAUGGUUUCACACCAACUAAAGUCCCCAACGUAAAGUAUGAGCUCAGUAAGUCUCCGUCUUCGUUUUCUAUGAGGACGGGUGCAGCUGCCUCUGCACAGGUCACAGCCCACAGAGACUUCAACGCUGUCCGAUGCCAUGCCUUGGAAAUGAUCCAUAAAGCGUUCUCAAUGCUUGACCAAGAGUUCCAAAAGCUUGACGGAGAAAGGUCAGAGCUUGCUCAAGCUACCGCAGCUCUUAAGUAUGAGAGAGAAGCUCUCCAAGCCCAACACCUGCAACAAGAGGCAGAACUACAGGAAAUGUUGGAGAGACACAGAGCCCAGAAUGAGAACUGGCUACGUGCACGGGCAGAGGAGAAUGACAAGGAGAGGAAGGAGCUGUGUAAACUCAGGGAGGAUAUUGUGCAGGAGCAAGAAAGACUAAAAGAGGAGCAGGGAAACAUCCAGAAACGAAGCGAGCACCUCCUAUCCAUCAUGAAACAGUUCAAAGGCAUGUAAAUACAUGUCUCCAUAGCAACCAACUGGAGAAAACAGAUCUCCCGUGGAUAAAAUGGAAGAAUAGAUUUGACAUUCAUUUGUGUUUUCUGCUGGUGUGUUUGAAUAAUUAGCAUUGUGAGCAUAGGAGAAAUUUGCAUUUGUUGUCUUUUGCCAAAGAGUCAUCUUAUCUUAGAGAGGCGGUGAGGUCAGAGGAAUCAUGUUGACCUUGUCAUAAAAGGGAUAAUAUUUUAACCUGACUGGUACAAAAUCCUAGAGCAUACUAAGUGGGACUAUUAUGAAGGCCUAUGGAAAAUGUUGUAAAGGAAAGUAACAAACAAUCAAUCUGUUUUGUGUUGAAUAAUAAAGCAAUAGUGCAGCGCUCUUUGUAGUUUUGCACAUAUCUGCAGAGAUACACAUUCUGUUCCCUAAUCUUUUAAAUAAUCACACACACUUUUAC
This is a long non-coding RNA of Esox lucius (northern pike), 1925 nucleotides long. The record is from Ensembl. Lineage: Eukaryota; Metazoa; Chordata; Actinopteri; Esociformes; Esocidae.